RNAcentral lists this ribosomal RNA (497 nucleotides) under uncultured bacterium. RNAcentral's name for it is "partial 16S ribosomal RNA". It matches the Rfam family "Bacterial small subunit ribosomal RNA", at positions 28 to 507 of the family's 1533-position model. The record is from RNAcentral.
GAUGAACGCUGGCGGCGUGCCUAAUACAUGCAAGUCGAGCGAACAGACGAGGAGCUUGCUCCUCUGACGUUAGCGGCGGACGGGUGAGUAACACGUGGAUAACCUACCUAUAAGACUGGGAUACCUUCGGGAAACCGGAGCUAAUACCGGAUAAUAUAUUGAACCGCAUGGUUCAAUAGUGGAAGACCGUUUUGCUGUCACUUAUAGAUGUAUCCGCGUCGCAUUAGCUAGUUGGUAAGGUAACGGCAUACCAAGGCAACGAUGCGUAGCCGAGCUGAGAGGGUGAUCAGCCACACUGGAACUGAGACACGGUCCAGACUCCUACGGGAGGCAGCAGUGGGGAAUAUUCGGCAAUGGGCGAAAGCCUGAUGGAGCAACGCCGCGUGAGUGAUGAAGGUCUUCGGAUCGUAAAACUCUGUUAUUAGGGAAGAACAGAUGUGAAUGUAAAUAUGCACGUCUUGACGGUACCUAAUGAGAAAGCCACGGCUAACUUCGUG